GACGAACGCUGGCGGCGUGCCUAAUACAUGCAAGUAGAACGCUGAAGGAGGAGCUUGCUUCUCUGGAUGAGUUGCGAACGGGUGAGUAACGCGUAGGUAACCUGCCUGGUAGCGGGGGAUAACUAUUGGAAACGAUAGCUAAUACCGCAUAAGAGUAGAUGUUGCAUGACAUUUGCUUAAAAGGUGCAAUUGCAUCACUACCAGAUGGACCUGCGUGGUAUUAGCUAGUUGGUGGGGUAACGGCUCACCAAGGCGACGAUACAUAGCCGACCUGAGAGGGUGAUCGGCCACACUGGGACUGAGACACGGCCCAGACUCCUACGGGAGGCAGCAGUAGGGAAUCUUCGGCAAUGGACGGAAGUCUGACCGAGCAACGCCGCGGGAGUGAAGAAGGUUUUCGGAUCGUAAAGCUCUGUUGUAAGAGAAGAACGAGUGUGAGAGUGGAAAGUUCACACUGUGACGGUAUCUUACCAGAAAGGGACGGCUAACUACGUG
Molecule: ribosomal RNA, 495 nt
Filed under: uncultured bacterium
Lineage: Bacteria
Description: partial 16S ribosomal RNA
Rfam family: Bacterial small subunit ribosomal RNA
Source: RNAcentral